CUUAGUCCUCAGUAGAGCAGAGAAAAUGACGCCGCGCCACUGUGAAUGUCCAAAAGCUCGCGAAAAAGCAAAAGAGAGCAAAAAUGUCGAAGCUCGGUUUUCUCCGCGCCGUAAUCACGUCAAACCUCGCCAUACGUAGGGCCGUGCCGCAGAACCGCGGCCUCUCUAUGCUUCUCGGCGAACCGAGGAGGCGGUUCUCGACAAAAGCCGAAAACCCGCCUCAGAACUCCCCGCCGUCUGAUCAGCCGCAUGAUGCUUCACCGAUCGAACCUUUUCUCCAAACCCCAACCACAGGUUUGGUGUAUGGGAAGCUGCUUGGAAUCUCGAGCUAUACGCUGAAGACCGAUGUGAUGAAUACGCUGGAGGGCUGUAAUUUGAGCCUGGAGGAUGUCAAAGUUGAUUAAAAUCGGGCCUUCACGCCGAUGGGAAAGGUCAUGCAAUUCCAGUGAUUGCAAGCUUUUGAUAAUGCUGCUAGGGUGAUUUCCAGGAAGGGCCGCCUGUAUAAAUUGGAGAGGUUAAUGAUGUCAUGGAUGCUUGAUUGGAUAUAAUUGUUGCGCACGUAUUUUGUGUCGUAGUGUGCUGAUGGUAGGUUUGUGAAUGACUGGCUAACCGAUCGCAGUGGGACAAUCUUACUCCCCAUGAUGCAAAAACUGUAAGUCAAGGUUUUCUAUUGCAUGCUUAUUAUUAUUUUUAAUGAAAUGUUUGAUCAAAUUGGUCGUGUUUGGAGUUACUCUUCAAUCAACAAAAUCUCUUGCUAUGUAGAAUGGACUAAGUAGUAAGAGAAGAUUGAUGAAUAUUUGGCUUUCGAUGCUGAACCUAAUGAAUUUAAAUUCUUCUGUAAGGCAAUAUAUGCCAUAGGCAGUUUGACACUCUAAACAGUUGAAGUAGGUUUUUUAUCUGGAUAACACAUAAAUAUUACCUGGGUAGAGUUGCUUCUUCUUGAAAACGGAAUCACUGGAACUACCAUGUGACAACGUAGUGAAUUUUUGUUUUAGUAAGUUUGCAUGCACCU
Molecule: long non-coding RNA, 1012 nt
Organism: Pyrus x bretschneideri (Chinese white pear)
Lineage: Eukaryota; Viridiplantae; Streptophyta; Magnoliopsida; Rosales; Rosaceae
Exons: 3
Source: RefSeq, a predicted model, not a curated record